CCUACGGGAGGCAGCAGUGAGGAAUAUUGGUCAAUGGUCGGGAGACUGAACCAGCCAAGCCGCGUGAGGGAUGAAGGUACAGAGUAUCGUAAACCUCUUUUGUCAGGGAACAAAGGCGGGGACGUGUCCCCGGAUGAGUGUACCUGAAGAAAAAGCAUCGGCUAACUCCGUGCCAGCAGCCGCGGUAAUACGGAGGAUGCGAGCGUUAUCCGGAUUUAUGGGGUUUAAAGGGUGCGCAGGCGGUCUGUUAAGUCAGCGGUCAAAGCCCGGGGCUCAACCCCGGCCCGCCGUUGAAACUGGCAGUCUCGAGUCGGAGAGAAGUAUGCGGAAUGCGCGGUGUAGCGGUGAAAUGCAUAGAUAUCGCGCAGAACUCCGAUUGCGAAGGCAGCAUGCCGGCUCCACACUGACGCUGAGGCACGAAAGCGUGGGUAUCGAACAGGAUUAGAUACCCUUGUAGUC
This 459-nucleotide ribosomal RNA is filed under the name uncultured bacterium. RNAcentral describes it as "partial 16S ribosomal RNA". It matches the Rfam family "Bacterial small subunit ribosomal RNA", at positions 338 to 795 of the family's 1533-position model. The record is from RNAcentral.